GCAUAUCAAUAAGCGGAGGAAAAGAAACCAACAGGGAUUGCCCUUAGUAACGGCGAAGUGAAGCGGCAACAGCUCAAAUUUGAAAUCUGGCCCUCGGGUCCGAGUUGUAAUUUGUAGAGGAUGCUUUUGGUGAGGUACCUUCCGAGUUCCCUGGAACGGGACGCCAUAGAGGGUGAGAGCCCCGUCUGGUUGGAUACCGAUCCUCUGUAAAGCUCCUUCGACGAGUCGAGUAGUUUGGGAAUGCUGCUCUAAAUGGGAGGUAUAUGUCUUCUAAAGCUAAAUAUUGGCCAGAGACCGAUAGCGCACAAGUAGAGUGAUCGAAAGAUGAAAAGCACUUUGAAAAGAGAGUUAAAAAGUACGUGAAAUUGUUGAAAGGGAAGCGCUUAUGACCAGACUUGGACUUGGUUGAUCAUCCUGGGUUCUCCCUGGUGCACUCUUCCAGUUCAGGCCAGCAUCAGUUCGCUGCGGGGGAUAAAAGUUUUGGGAAUGUGGCUCCCUCGGGAGUGUUAUAGCCCAUUGCAUAAUACCCUGCUCCGGACUGAGGUUCGCGCAUCUGCAAGGAUGCUGGCGUAAUGGUCAUCAGCGACCCGUCUUGAAACACGGACCAAGGAGUCGUCUUCGUAUGCGAGUGUUCGGGUGUUAAACCCCUACGCGUAAUGAAAGUGAACGCAGGUGAGAGCUUCGGCGCAUCAUCGACCGAUCCUGAUGUUCUCGGAUGGAUUUGAGUAAGAGCAUACGGGGCCGGACCCGAAAGAAGGUGAACUAUGCCUGUAUAGGGUGAAGCCAGAGGAAACUCUGGUGGAGGCUCGCAGCGGUUCUGACGUGCAAAUCGAUCGUCAAAUAUGGGCAUGGGGGGCGAAAGACUAAUCGAACCUUCUAGUAGCUGGUUUCCGC
This 894-nucleotide ribosomal RNA is filed under the name Calonectria lauri. Its description in RNAcentral is "LSU rRNA". It matches the Rfam family "Eukaryotic large subunit ribosomal RNA", at positions 38 to 961 of the family's 3401-position model. The record is from RNAcentral. Lineage: Eukaryota; Fungi; Ascomycota; Sordariomycetes; Hypocreales; Nectriaceae.